GGCCGACCUAGCUCAGUUGGUUAGAGCGUGGUGCUGGUGACGCCAAGGUCGUCGGUUCGAUCCCGGCGUUGGCCA
RNAcentral lists this transfer RNA (75 nucleotides) under Ganoderma lucidum Xiangnong No.1. RNAcentral describes it as "tRNA-Thr (GGT) (tRNA-Thr-GGT-1-1)". It matches the Rfam family "tRNA". From Rfam's summary of the family: Transfer RNA (tRNA) molecules are approximately 80 nucleotides in length. Their secondary structure includes four short double-helical elements and three loops (D, anti-codon, and T loops). Further hydrogen bonds mediate the characteristic L-shaped molecular structure. tRNAs have two regions of fundamental functional importance: the anti-codon, which is responsible for specific mRNA codon recognition, and the 3' end, to which the tRNAs corresponding amino acid is attached (by aminoacyl-tRNA synthetases). tRNAs cope with the degeneracy of the genetic code in two manners: having more than one tRNA (with a specific anti-codon) for a particular amino acid; and 'wobble' base-pairing, i.e. permitting non-standard base-pairing at the 3rd anti-codon position. The record is from RNAcentral. Lineage: Eukaryota; Fungi; Basidiomycota; Agaricomycetes; Polyporales; Polyporaceae.